Molecule: long non-coding RNA, 224 nt
Filed under: Marmota monax (woodchuck)
Lineage: Eukaryota; Metazoa; Chordata; Mammalia; Rodentia; Sciuridae
Source: RNAcentral
AGGAACUGAGAGAAGCAGUCCAAAGAUGUCCUUCACCCCUCCUUUAGUUUUCUUGAUUUAACACCACACACACACACACACACACACACACAAUCCUUUUUUCCUUUAGUCAGACUUGGCAGCAAAGAUGCUUUUCCUGUACAGGAUGUUUGCCCAGUGUUUGCAGGUUAUGUGCUGCUGUAGAUAAGGACUGUGCCAUUGGAAAUUUCAUUACAAUGAAGUGC